Small nucleolar RNA from Phyllostomus hastatus (greater spear-nosed bat), 103 nucleotides. RefSeq annotates it as small nucleolar RNA U13. The record is from RefSeq and is a predicted model, not a curated record. NCBI's taxonomy places the organism in Eukaryota, Metazoa, Chordata, Mammalia, Chiroptera, Phyllostomidae. The transcript has a single exon.
ACCCUUCGGUAGUUCAUGAGUGUGAUGACUGGGUGUUUACGCUCUCGUGUGACGUGUGCCUCCCACAGACUCUUCCCGGCAUCGGCACCUGACCCAUCUGACA